UAAGGUGGUUAUAGCGACGGGGCUCACCUCUUACCUUUCCGAACAGAGAAGUUAAGCCCGUUUGCGCCGAUGAUACUACAUUCGUGGGAAAGUAGGUCGCCGCCUUCU
RNAcentral lists this ribosomal RNA (108 nucleotides) under Flavobacteriaceae bacterium. The record is from RNAcentral. Lineage: Bacteria; Pseudomonadati; Bacteroidota; Flavobacteriia; Flavobacteriales; Flavobacteriaceae.